RNAcentral lists this ribosomal RNA (217 nucleotides) under uncultured bacterium. RNAcentral's name for it is "partial 16S ribosomal RNA". It matches the Rfam family "Bacterial small subunit ribosomal RNA", at positions 15 to 224 of the family's 1533-position model. The record is from RNAcentral.
GAUCAUGGCUCAGGAUGAACGCUAGCUACAGGCUUAACACAUGCAAGUCGAGGGGCAGCAUGGUCUUAGCUUGCUAAGGCCGAUGGCGACCGGCGCACGGGUGAGUAACGCGUAUCCAACCUGCCUUACACUCUUGGACAGCCUUCUGAAAGGGAGAUUAAUACAAGAUGUUAUCAUGAGUAAGCAUUUUCGCAUGAUUAAAGGUUUACCGUGUAGA